Molecule: ribosomal RNA, 494 nt
Filed under: uncultured bacterium
Lineage: Bacteria
Description: partial 16S ribosomal RNA
Rfam family: Bacterial small subunit ribosomal RNA
Source: RNAcentral
GACGAACGCUGGCGGCGUGCUUAACACAUGCAAGUCGAACGGUGAAGCGCCUUCCUUUUUGGUGGGUGUGGAUGAGUGGCGAACGGGUGAGUAACACGUGAGUAACCUGCCCCCUUCUUCUGGAUAACCGCAUGAAAGUGUGGCUAAUACGGGAUAUUCUGGGUCUGUCGCAUGAUGGGUCUGGGAAAGAUAUUGUUUCGGUGGGGGAUGGGCUCGCGGCCUAUCAGCUUGUUGGUGGGGGGAUGGCCUACCAAGGCGGUGACGGGUAGCCGGCCUGAGAGGGUGGACGGUCACACUGGGACUGAGCCACGGCCCAGACUCCUACGGGAGGCAGCAGUGGGGAAUAUUGCACAAUGGGCGCAAGCCUGAUGCAGCGACGCCGCGUGAGGGAUGGAGGCCUUCGGGUUGUGAACCUCUUUCGCCAGUGAAGCAGGCCUGCCUCGUUUGUGGGUGGGUUGACGGUAGCUGGAUAAGAAGCGCCGGCUAACUACGUG